RNAcentral lists this ribosomal RNA (260 nucleotides) under uncultured bacterium. RNAcentral describes it as "partial 16S ribosomal RNA". It matches the Rfam family "Bacterial small subunit ribosomal RNA", at positions 16 to 283 of the family's 1533-position model. The record is from RNAcentral.
AUCCUGGCUCAGGACGAACGCCGGCGGCGUGCCUAACACAUGCAAGUCGAACGGGGUUAUAUAAGAAGCUUGCUUUGAAUAUAACCAAGUGGCGGACGGGUGAGUAACGCGUGAGGACCUGUCUCCGGCAGGGGGACAACAUUUGGAAACGGAUGCUAAUACCGCAUAAGCCGAGAGGUGAAAGGAGCAAUCCGGCAGGAGAGGGACUCGCGUUCUAUCAGCUAGUAGGCGGGGUAAAGGCCCACCUAGGCGAAGACGGA